UUCCGUAGGGUAACCUGCGGAGGGAUCAUUACACAAAUAUGAAGGCGGGCUGGAACCUCUCGGGGUUACAGCCUUGCUGAAUUAUUCACCCUUGUCUUUUGCGUACUUCUUGUUUCCUUGGUGGGUUCGCCCACCACUAGGACAAACAUAAACCUUUUGUAAUUGCAAUCAGCGUCAGUAACAAAUUAAUAAUUACAACUUUCAACAACGGAUCUCUUGGUUCUGGCAUCGAUGAAGAACGCAGCGAAAUGCGAUAAGUAGUGUGAAUUGCAGAAUUCAGUGAAUCAUCGAAUCUUUGAACGCACAUUGCGCCCUUUGGUAUUCCAAAGGGCAUGCCUGUUCGAGCGUCAUUUGUACCCUCAAGCUUUGCUUGGUGUUGGGCGUCUUGUCUCUAGCUUUGCUGGAGACUCGCCUUAAAGUAAUUGGCAGCCGGCCUACUGGUUUCGGAGCGCAGCACAAGUCGCACUCUCUAUCAGCAAAGGUCUAGCAUCCAUUAAGCCUUUUUUUCAACUUUUGACCUCGGAUCAGGUAGGGAUACCCGCUGAACUUAAGCAUAUCAAUAAGGCGGAGGAA
Molecule: ribosomal RNA, 573 nt
Filed under: Alternaria brassicae
Lineage: Eukaryota; Fungi; Ascomycota; Dothideomycetes; Pleosporales; Pleosporaceae
Description: eukaryotic LSU rRNA
Rfam family: 5.8S ribosomal RNA (bases 197-350)
Source: RNAcentral